GACGAACGCUGGCGGCGUGCUUAACACAUGCAAGUCGUACGACAGCAUUUCCUUUUAGGUUGUGUUUGGAGUGGCGAACGGGUGAGUAACACGUGAGUGACCUGCCCUUCACUUUGGGAUAACGUGCGGAAACGUGCGCUAAUACCAAAUAUUCGCAUUUCUGCUGCAUGGUGGGGUGUGGAAAGGGGGCCUUCGGGUUCGUGGUGGGGGAGUGGGCUCGCGGCCUAUCAGCNGUGUUGGUGGGGUGAUGGCUACCAAGCGUGGACGGGUAGCCGGCCUGAGAGGGUGUUCGGUCACACUGGGACUGAGAUACGGCCCAGACUCC
RNAcentral lists this ribosomal RNA (325 nucleotides) under uncultured bacterium. RNAcentral describes it as "bacterial SSU rRNA". It matches the Rfam family "Bacterial small subunit ribosomal RNA", at positions 28 to 339 of the family's 1533-position model. The record is from RNAcentral.